RNAcentral lists this long non-coding RNA (240 nucleotides) under Lathyrus oleraceus (garden pea). RNAcentral describes it as "Pisum sativum (pea) long non-coding RNA (PSAT_LNC009038)". Lineage: Eukaryota; Viridiplantae; Streptophyta; Magnoliopsida; Fabales; Fabaceae. The record is from RNAcentral.
UUACUCCUGCCAUGCCACAUAGGGUGGUUAGCUAAGCAUAUGGUUGAUUUGUCAUCUACAAAUACUUCAUCUUUUUAGGUUCCAUGAUCUUGAGCUCUUCUAACAUCAUUUCUAUCCAUAAAGCUUGGAAUGUUGCAUAAGAAGUUAUUACAUAUUCAGCUUCGCAAGAUGAUAAUUCUAUUAUUCCUUUCUUCCUUGAACUCCAAGAGAUUGGAGCACCUCAAAUCAUGAAUAGGUAAC